AGUCACUGUACCAUCAGAAUGAUUUUGAAACUGAUAUUUCAACAUAAAAAAAUGACACAGAGAAGCUUUAAUGUUCAAAUUUGUGUUUUUACAAAGAGUGGAACAAAAACAAAACAAAAAGAGUCAUUUUCACUCAGCAGAGUCUCCAUCUGAUCGUGCUGAGACUCAAUGACCCAACAGAAGAAGCCAAAGCCCUGCUAGGUGAAAUAUGUCAUGAGUUGUGUAAAUAUAUCUCUCAAUAUCAGAGAAAGAGACCAUAUGUUGCGCUGUGAGCGGAGGCUUACAGCAAAGCUGCCUUAUCCACAGCAUUACAGACUCUAAGAAAGGAUUUAUUUUUAAUUCUCGAUUAGAUAGAAUGUCUCUGCUAGACGAAAGUAGAAAGAACACACACACACACAAUCACAUUAGUGUGAUCAUCAUCAGCCUCUGAUCACACACACAGCACACAGAGAGAGAGAGCAGGAGAAACGCGCUUUCCACCUUCAGACGCAUCUCUGAGGCGUGCACACAGCGUCAGGAGGCGAUGCUGCUCCCUCUCUGACAGACCCUGGAGUUGCACUGGAUCUCAGAUGCGCUUGGAGCCUGAGCGGACAGACACUGAUGACUUCACACGCGCUGCUGCUCUACGGGCUCGGGUUCACUUUAGCAUCGGCACUGCUUUCCACACAGGUCGACGGACUGCAGUGUUACGGCUGUAACGUCUUCCACGGGCAGAAGUAUGUGGACGUGGGCUGCACUAAUCCAGAGGUCAUCACGUGCACGCACUCGCACAAGGGCUUCAAGCAUCGCUUCUGCAUCAGGACCGAGAGCACGGCACUGGGCAUCGUCCUCACUAGUGGCUGUGCCACCUCACGCCACUGCCAGCAGCAAGAACUGCCUGGAGUCUCCAUCCACUGCUGUGACUCGGACCUGUGCAACAGCGCCACCCACCAGCCAGCACAUUCACUGCAACAUGCACUGCUGCUGCUACUGCUGGCACGGAUGUGCUUAUGAUUCACUGCAUGAUGACCUCUGAGAAAGAGAAAGUGGACAGAAUGUUGGGCAGCCAGAUACUCCACACAGCUUCCUCUGUAAAACACCCUUUAUGUGUGUUCAUUGUGAUUAUGUGAACAGUUGUUCUAUCAGAUAAUAGGUUCUGUUCUGCUGGUUAGCACUGAACUUAACAGUCCUGUUCUGCAUGUACAUACGUACUAAUUAUAGUAAUUACAAUAACUGGUAAUCACUAGGUACUAUUACUGAACUGAACCCACUGAUUUAAAUGAAGAUCAUCUUCAUGUUAAAGGUCACAGUUCAUUUUCAUCGAAAAAAUGAAAAUGUUCUGUUAAUCUACUCAUCCUCAGGCCAUCCAAGAUGUAGAUGACAUUUGUUCUUCAGUAGAACAGUAAAGACCAUUUUAAGCUGAAACUGUGGGCCUUGGUGAUUAAUAAAAUAGAAUAGAAUCCUUUAAUAAAUGAACUC
Molecule: long non-coding RNA, 1458 nt
Organism: Cyprinus carpio (common carp)
Lineage: Eukaryota; Metazoa; Chordata; Actinopteri; Cypriniformes; Cyprinidae
Source: Ensembl